GACUGACAGAAGGUAAAUAUGCGUCUUUCAUAUUUAUAUAAAGACCGUAUUAUACCUCCCUCAGUGAUCGAUCCAUAAAAAAACGGGAUAUGCUGACGAAGUUUCACUUAGUGAUCCAGAGAGAUACACUGACGACUUCCUCAGUCCCCGAAUAAAGUAAAUUAACCCUUGUGUGGUGUUGGUGGACCCGCUAGAAAAGACACAGGAAGUUGCCUGUUGUUUUGCGAGAAGUUGCUCGUUAAGCGAGAAGUUGCUCGUUAAGUGAGAGUUGCUCACCCAAACAAAAAAUUGCUAGCAAUAAAUUUAAAGUGACCUCAGCUGUGCCGCAGCGAAAAUACUAACCUAAAUCCUCCUAGCGUGUAAACCCCUCUGGAAAUCACUGAACAUGGGUCAGAAUUAUUCAAAGACCACAGACAGGUCCGAUAAAAAAUCUAAAGUACCUGUAAAACCAAAAAUUAAUAAAAUACAAAAUGAAGUCUCAAAUAACGGCUCAGUACAACUCCCAUUUCCGGUUACGUGUAACCUACGUCCGCGAAUCGGUGAAGACGUCCAUGAUCACGUAUCCAGAACAUGCGGAAGUGCUUACGUGACUGACUUUGUUUACAACUUACGGACUGUAAGUUCAAUGCAUUCUAAUUUAUUUCCGGAGCCCUAUCCCGAACGAUUAUCGCCAGAAAACAGUUCCACCAGUGGAGACAAGGAGAUGCGUGUUGGUGAAGUCGCUAAAACCAAGGAUACUUUGGGAGGCCGCGCGUGUUCCAGCCCCAGACUGUACUGGCAGUGACGAAGAACCAGCAUCCUCACAGACGGACAACCUCAGUGGAUUCAUGCCAGCAGGGUUAAGACCAGCCCAAUCGGACCAUCUCAGGCGUCGGAUCAAGCAGAUGACAUCUCCGGCGGGCCAACGCCCGGAACCAGAGCAAAUAAACACACGGGUAGACGACAUCUCCGGCGAGCCAGCGCCAGGAUCCAAUGUACAUACACACACACAAUCACUGAUUAACACACAACGCCUGAAAGAACAACAACAAGGUACUCAAACAUCCAGCAGGAACAGAAAGCCAAAAGUACCACAUGAUGUCUAACCUGAUAAAGCUAGACUCAUUCCAUCCUGAUAAUGGAGAAAAUAAAAUGCCCAUUGUCAUCAUACGACGUUUAUUCUGUGUCUCUCGAACCUGGGACCAGGCCAGGAGACGACUGAAGAACUGUUUUUCUUAUAUAUUUAGGUUAU
Long non-coding RNA from Astatotilapia calliptera (eastern happy), 1231 nucleotides. NCBI's taxonomy places the organism in Eukaryota, Metazoa, Chordata, Actinopteri, Cichliformes, Cichlidae. The record is from Ensembl.